Molecule: ribosomal RNA, 392 nt
Filed under: uncultured organism
Description: bacterial SSU rRNA
Rfam family: Bacterial small subunit ribosomal RNA
Source: RNAcentral
UGCUUAACACAUGCAAGUCGAACGGCAUCACGGUCUAGCUUGCUAGGCUGGUGGCGAGUGGCGAACGGGUGAGUAACGCGUAGGAAUAUGCCUUAAAGAGGGGGACAACUUGGGGAAACUCAAGCUAAUACCGCAUAAUAUCUGAGGAUAAAAGCUGGGGACCUUAGGGCCUGGCGCUUUAAGAUUAGCCUGCGUCCGAUUAGCUAGUUGGUGGGGUAAGGGCCUACCAAGGCGACGAUCGGUAGCUGGUCUGAGAGGAUGGCCAGCCACACUGGAACUGAGACACGGUCCAGACUCCUACGGGAGGCAGCAGUGGGGAAUAUUGGACAAUGGGGGGAACCCUGAUCCAGCAAUGCCGCGUGUGUGAAGAAGGCCUGAGGGUUGUAAAGCAC